UACACUGCUGGGUGGUCACAACUGCUCAC
Molecule: non-coding RNA, 29 nt
Filed under: Mus musculus (house mouse)
Lineage: Eukaryota; Metazoa; Chordata; Mammalia; Rodentia; Muridae
Source: RNAcentral